RNAcentral lists this ribosomal RNA (707 nucleotides) under Escherichia coli. RNAcentral's name for it is "partial 23S ribosomal RNA". It matches the Rfam family "Bacterial large subunit ribosomal RNA", at positions 1917 to 2623 of the family's 2925-position model. Lineage: Bacteria; Pseudomonadati; Pseudomonadota; Gammaproteobacteria; Enterobacterales; Enterobacteriaceae. The record is from RNAcentral.
GCCCCGGUAAACGGCGGCCGUAACUAUAACGGUCCUAAGGUAGCGAAAUUCCUUGUCGGGUAAGUUCCGACCUGCACGAAUGGCGUAAUGAUGGCCAGGCUGUCUCCACCCGAGACUCAGUGAAAUUGAACUCGCUGUGAAGAUGCAGUGUACCCGCGGCAAGACGGAAAGACCCCGUGAACCUUUACUAUAGCUUGACACUGAACAUUGAGCCUUGAUGUGUAGGAUAGGUGGGAGGCUUUGAAGUGUGGACGCCAGUCUGCAUGGAGCCGACCUUGAAAUACCACCCUUUAAUGUUUGAUGUUCUAACGUUGGCCCGUAAUCCGGGUUGCGGACAGUGUCUGGUGGGUAGUUUGACUGGGGCGGUCUCCUCCUAAAGAGUAACGGAGGAGCACGAAGGUUGGCUAAUCCUGGUCGGACAUCAGGAGGUUAGUGCAAUGGCAUAAGCCAGCUUGACUGCGAGCGUGACGGCGCGAGCAGGUGCGAAAGCAGGUCAUAGUGAUCCGGUGGUUCUGAAUGGAAGGGCCAUCGCUCAACGGAUAAAAGGUACUCCGGGGAUAACAGGCUGAUACCGCCCAAGAGUUCAUAUCGACGGCGGUGUUUGGCACCUCGAUGUCGGCUCAUCACAUCCUGGGGCUGAAGUAGGUCCCAAGGGUAUGGCUGUUCGCCAUUUAAAGUGGUACGCGAGCUGGGUUUAGAACGUCGUG